UACGGGGGGAGCAAGCGUUGUUCGGAUUUACUGGGCGUAAAGGGCUCGUAGGCGGCCAACUAAGUCAGACGUGAAAUCCCUCGGCUUAACCGGGGAACUGCGUCUGAUACUGGAUGGCUUGAAUCCGGGAGAGGGAUGCGGAAUUCCAGGUGUAGCGGUGAAAUGCGUAGAUAUCUGGAGGAACACCGGUGGCGAAGGCGGCUCACUGGCUCGUAUCUGACGCUCAGGCGCGACAGCGUGGGGAUCAAACAGG
RNAcentral lists this ribosomal RNA (253 nucleotides) under uncultured bacterium. Its description in RNAcentral is "partial 16S ribosomal RNA". It matches the Rfam family "Bacterial small subunit ribosomal RNA", at positions 524 to 776 of the family's 1533-position model. The record is from RNAcentral.